CUUAGCUUGCUAAGUUUGAUGGCGACCGGCGCACGGGUGAGUAACACGUAUCCCACCUGCCGAUGACUCGGGGAUAGCCUUUCGAAAGAAAGAUUAAUACCCGAUGGCAUAGUUCUUCCGCAUGGUAGAACUAUUAAAGAAUUUCGGUCAUCGAUGGGGAUGCGUUCCAUUAGGUUGUUGGCGGGGUAACGGCCCACCAAGCCUUCGAUGGAUAGGGGUUCUGAGAGGAAGGUCCCCCACAUUGGAACUGAGACACGGUCCAAACUCCUACGGGAGGCAGCAGUGAGGAAUAUUGGUCAAUGGACGAGAGUCUGAACCAGCCAAGUAGCGUGAAGGAUGACUGCCCUAUGGGUUGUAAACUUCUUUUAUAAGGGAAUAAAGUGAGGGACGUGUCCCUUUUUGUAUGUACCUUAUGAAUAAGGAUCGGCUAACUCCGUGCCAGCAGCCGCGGUAAUACGGAGGAUCCAAGCGUUAUCCGGAUUUAUUGGGUUUAAAGGGAGCGUAGGUUGACCUAUAAGUCAGCUGUGAAAGUUUACGGCUCAACCGUGAAAUUGCAGUUGAUACUGUAUGUCUUGAGUGUACAAGAGGUGGGCGGAAUUCGUGGUGUAGCGGUGAAAUGCUUAGAUAUCACGAAGAACUCCGAUUG
RNAcentral lists this ribosomal RNA (646 nucleotides) under uncultured Bacteroides sp. RNAcentral describes it as "bacterial SSU rRNA". It matches the Rfam family "Bacterial small subunit ribosomal RNA", at positions 74 to 715 of the family's 1533-position model. The record is from RNAcentral. Lineage: Bacteria; Pseudomonadati; Bacteroidota; Bacteroidia; Bacteroidales; Bacteroidaceae.